RNAcentral lists this ribosomal RNA (429 nucleotides) under Bacillus sp. LIPOA/UEL_66. RNAcentral's name for it is "bacterial SSU rRNA". It matches the Rfam family "Bacterial small subunit ribosomal RNA", at positions 213 to 633 of the family's 1533-position model. The record is from RNAcentral. Lineage: Bacteria; Bacillati; Bacillota; Bacilli; Caryophanales; Bacillaceae.
UGUCACUUAUGGAUGGACCCGCGUCGCAUUAGCUAGUUGGUGAGGUAACGGCUCACCAAGGCAACGAUGCGUAGCCGACCUGAGAGGGUGAUCGGCCACACUGGGACUGAGACACGGCCCAGACUCCUACGGGAGGCAGCAGUAGGGAAUCUUCCGCAAUGGACGAAAGUCUGACGGAGCAACGCCGCGUGAGUGAUGAAGGCUUUCGGGUCGUAAAACUCUGUUGUUAGGGAAGAACAAGUGCUAGUUGAAUAAGCUGGCACCUUGACGGUACCUAACCAGAAAGCCACGGCUAACUACGUGCCAGCAGCCGCGGUAAUACGUAGGUGGCAAGCGUUAUCCGGAAUUAUUGGGCGUAAAGCGCGCGCAGGUGGUUUCUUAAGUCUGAUGUGAAAGCCCACGGCUCAACCGUGGAGGGUCAUUGGAAAC